GUGGCGAGUGGCGAACGGGUGAGUAAUAUAUCGGACGUGCCCAGUCGUGGGGGAUAACGCAGCGAAAGCUGUGCUAAUACCGCAUACGAUCUAUGGAUGAAAGCGGGGGAUCGCAAGACCUCGCGCGAUUGGAGCGGCCGAUAUCAGAUUAGCUAGUUGGUGGGGUAAAGGCCCACCAAGGCGACGAUCUGUAGCUGGUCUGAGAGGACGACCAGCCACACUGGAACUGAGACACGGUCCAGACUCCUACGGGAGGCAGCAGUGGGGAAUUUUGGACAAUGGGCGCAAGCCUGAUCCAGCAAUGCCGCGUGCAGGACGAAGGCCUUCGGGUUGUAAACUGCUUUUGUACGGAGCGAAACGGCUUUCUCUAAUACAGGGGGCUAAUGACGGUACCGUAAGAAUAAGCACCGGCUAACUACGUGCCAGCAGCCGCGGUAAUACGUAGGGUGCGAGCGUUAAUCGGAAUUACUGGGCGUAAAGCGUGCGCAGGCGGUUUUGUAAGACAGAUGUGAAAUCCCCGGGCUCAACUGGGACCUGCAUUUGUGACUGAAAAGCUGGGAGUGCGGGCAAGGGGGGAUUGGAAUUCCGGUUGUACAGUGA
This 600-nucleotide ribosomal RNA is filed under the name uncultured bacterium. RNAcentral's name for it is "bacterial SSU rRNA". It matches the Rfam family "Bacterial small subunit ribosomal RNA", at positions 88 to 684 of the family's 1533-position model. The record is from RNAcentral.